Molecule: transfer RNA, 78 nt
Filed under: Podarcis lilfordi (Lilford's wall lizard)
Lineage: Eukaryota; Metazoa; Chordata; Lepidosauria; Squamata; Lacertidae
Description: tRNA.Lys
Rfam family: tRNA
About the family: Transfer RNA (tRNA) molecules are approximately 80 nucleotides in length.
Source: RNAcentral
GUCCAGCUGGGAUAGCUCAGUUGGUAGAGCAUGGGACCCUUAAUCUCAGGGUUGUGGGUUCGAGCCCCACGUUGGGCA